GUUAAAGCGUUGAUAGGAAAAAGUAGCAGGCUGCACAUACUUUUUAGAGAGUCGGUGGUUGGUGAGAACCGAUGUAUGACAUCUGCGAAUCCAUCCUUGAGCACUUGGCCGAAUUGCCUUUAUUGGCAUAGUAAGUCAAAUCGGUAAGAUUAUUACCGUUAUCGAAUGAAGUGGGAGAAGGCGUUUAGUCUUUUUCAACAAGGGUGGCAACACGGGAAUAUAAACUCUCGUCCCUAUU
RNAcentral lists this non-coding RNA (238 nucleotides) under Bacillus sp. (in: firmicutes). RNAcentral's name for it is "Bacillus sp. T-box sequence". It matches the Rfam family "T-box leader". From Rfam's summary of the family: Uncharged tRNA acts as the effector for transcription antitermination of genes in the T-box leader family. T-boxes are found upstream of many aminoacyl-tRNA synthetase genes and some amino acid biosynthetic genes usually in Gram-positive bacteria. The anticodon of a specific tRNA base pairs to a specifier sequence within the T-box motif, and the NCCA acceptor tail of the tRNA base pairs to a conserved bulge in the T-box antiterminator hairpin. The record is from RNAcentral. Lineage: Bacteria; Bacillati; Bacillota; Bacilli; Caryophanales; Bacillaceae.